AUGGCGUCAGGGUGAUGGCGGCGGGGACGGACCUGAGUGGAGGGUUGGAGCCGGUGGCUGUGGCGCUAUGGCCACCCUCGGAGGCCCCGCCGGCAUUUCAGUACAGCCCAGACAACGUAGCUGGAGCAGAUGGAGACAUUGAUCCCACUGAAAUCACCUUUCCAGGAUGUUCCUGUCAUACCAGCUCCUGUGUGGUUCAUGUGUGCUCUUGCCUUUGCCGUGGUGCAAAUUACAACAGUUUAUGCCUGAGGCCUACAGAGGAAGAGGAGGAGUACGCCAGGCCUGUUUUUGAAUGCAAUGCCAUGUGCCACUGUGGUGAAUCCUGUUCAAACAGGGUUGUUCAGAGGGGUUUGCAGUUCAGACUUGAGGUGUUCAAGACUGAAAAGAAAGGGUGGGGUCUCCGUACGCUGGACUUCAUAGCUAAAGGAAGAUUUGUCUGUGAAUAUGCUGGUGAAGUUUUAGGCUUUAAUGAGGCAUGUAGAAGAAUUCAGGCCCAGACAUCAAAGGAUUCAAACUAUAUUAUAGCAGUAAGGGAGCACCUCCAUAACGGUGAGAUAAUGGAGACCUUUGUUGACCCUAGGUACAUAGGUAAUGUAGGCAGAUUCCUGAAUCAUUCUUGUGAACCCAAUUUAUUUAUGGUGCCAGUUCGAGUCGACUCAAUGGUGCCUAGACUGGCACUUUUUGCAGCUACAGACAUUUCUGCUGGAGAAGAACUUUCAUUUGAUUAUUCUGGAAGAGUCUAUAAUUUACCAGUAACUGAUGAAGAACAAAAAUCCUUAGAGGAAGACAGCAGACUGAGGAAACCUUGCUACUGUGGUUCCCGCACAUGUGCUUCCUUCUUACCUUGGGACAGCUCCCUCUUUUCCACACCAAAUGCUUGUUCAGGUAGCUCUCCAUAGAUUUUCAGGCUGUAAGCAUACUUAACAAGUAUGAUUUUCUCUAGCGGUUAAAUUGCAGUUAACUAAAACUGUGUAUUCCACCAAGAAAGCACUUGGUUUUGAGCAAUAACUGAAAGUCAAGAUACUGAGAAUAACUUCAUGCAACAUCUAGAGACUGUUUCUGAGCUUGCUGUAUGUUAGAGCAGCUCUCUUGGUUUGUGCCUUUCAGAAGGAAUGAACUUGAGCUCUGGUACACUGAAAGGAUAUGUGGUAACAAGAAGAAACCUUGCUGAAAACUACAGAAGAGAGUGCGAUGAGGCACUGGAAUGGGUUGCCCAGGGAAGCUGUGAAUGCUCCAUCCCUGGCAGUGUUCAAGGCCAGGCUGGACAAAGCCUUGGGUGCCAUGGUUUAGUGUGAGGUGUCCCUGCCCAUGGCAGGGGGUUGGAACUGGAUGAUCUUGAGGUCCUUUCCAAACCUGGCUAUUCGAUGAUUGAAGAAUCGUGACAUUUAACAGAAAGGCAGGAGGUUUCUUAAGUCCUAUGCAAACAAAUUACUUUCUUUAGCUUAUUUGCUAUAAAUUGUUUGUUCUGUAUAUCAUAAAUAACUGAUUACUGAUGUAAAAAAUUUUGUCCAGAAAGAUUAGCUUGAAUACUAACCCCCUUCCAGCCCCCCAGUCCUUUUACAUCUCCAGUCACAUCCAGCUGCAUGCCAAAACCAGGUUUUGAUUGACUGGUUCAAGUUCAUUACCAUUUAGUUUGUGUGUAAAUCCUGCAGUUCUGCAGGCUCCAAGUACAGUCAGCCCAUCUUUUUUGGAUUACAUCUAUCCCAAAGCUCAUCUAGUAAGAUUUCUGCAAUAAUAGCAAGCAGUAUGUCCAUGUUACUUUCCAGCACUGUUAUUACACAGUCAGGAAGCAAAUUCAGACUCCAGUCUUAAGCAGUAUAAUGGUUAUCCUGACUUCUGAGAUGGAUUAAGCAGGAAAUAGAUAAAUACAUGUGAACAAAAUUGGUUUUUUACCUUGUUGAAUGGCUGGCAGUUACACAAGUGUUCCUUUCAGCUACUAACUGAUUUGUUUUCACAAUUCCUACAGAGCCACAGCAUUAAGCAAGGCUUGUGCCUCCCCAUCAGAGGGAGGUCACUGCAUCUUUUUUCAGUAGUAUUUGUGCUGGUCUAACAGGUAUGCUGCUUUACUGAGCAUCCCCUUAUGCCAGGGAUAUACAAGGGCACUUGCUGGAUAAGGUAUGUCCUGCAGCUGUAUGUUACUUCACUUCCUUUCUAGAAAGGUCAAAUUAAGGAAGCUUCAAACAGGGUUGUUUUGAAUUUCCCCCCCAGCUUUGACAGACAACCUGCAGUGCUCCUUUUUGCAGUCAUGCACAGUGUGCCAUCAGUGGCACAAAUCCCUGGGGGUUAUUUGCUCUGCACAGUUUGAUCUUUUAACCGUACCCAUGACCUUUGACAGGAUUUCAGCUGCCUGUCAAAAGUAGUUUACUAAUAAUGGCUGAGCAGCCAUUAUCUUUAUUCCUUGCCUGGUUAAGGUGCCUGCUUCUACAGAGCCAUUCUCCAGAUCCCAGUACUUGGAAUACAUGCUGCUUGGAUUGCAGGGUUUCUUGUUCUUUGCGGAGGCUUAUCUGGUUUUCUUCUCCUAAAGGGCACUAUGCCAGCCACUUUC
Melopsittacus undulatus (budgerigar) is the source of this 2545-nucleotide RNA transcript. It is a transcript of the gene named histone-lysine N-methyltransferase SETMAR, with no coding region annotated. The transcript is spliced from 3 exons. The record is from RefSeq and is a predicted model, not a curated record. NCBI's taxonomy places the organism in Eukaryota, Metazoa, Chordata, Aves, Psittaciformes, Psittaculidae.